UGGGAAGAAAAAGAGAGCAACGACAAUAUCCAGGUAUCAAAUAUACAGAAAAAGCAAUUGAGUACAGAGUAAACAAGCACUGAUGAAAAAGAGUAAAUGAUUUGUAAAAACUGGAUUGGCUCCAGACAUAUUUCCCACAAAGGGUACAGAUAGGUUGGUGACAUGAAAUUUAUUUUCCUUUCAGCAUCCUUCUUGUUGAUAAGGAAAAUGUAUACAAAAGCAUACAGCCUGGAAAAGUUGCCUGCCAUUCUCCUAAUUUAAAUGAUGACAAGGUGUUGUCUCAAACAUGUUUUAGAAAGAUCUAUCUAAUCAAAAGUGACUUGAAUUUUUCAAACUUGCAAAAGCUUAACAGUAUCCAAGAGAAGCAAUUCUUUAGAAAAAGUAUUUGCUUCAAAGAGUCAUGAAAUAGGAUUAAAGUUUUAUAAACAUUACCAGCCAAUCUGACAUAAAUUGCUGGUAAAGAUGACUGAUCUCACCAUUCUAAGGGAUGAGAGUAGUCACAAGAUAAUGGCCACAACUCCUGUAUCAGAAGAAAACCAAUUUGAAACAUAUAGUCUUCUGAGUGAAAGUGACCAGGGAACAUCAAAGACACAGAAUUACUUCUCACAUCUUAUUAACUUGCCAAUUUUAGCACUGUUCCUUUGAUGCUUUGAGGAAGAGGUGAUUCAACAGAGCUCAAUGCAGAAAAAAAAAUAUUAAGAGCACUUCACAACUAGUCCCAAGCUAAAAAAAGAAACAAAUAUAUUGCUGCAAUCUUCUAACACUUUUCCAAUCAUUGUAUUCUGUUUUAAAAGACACCAUUGGUAAGGAAGACUAAGUCUUACUUGGAACCUUCUUAAGUUCAUUUAAAAGAACCAUGCAAUUUAGUUAGUGAUUCACUUCUAAAGUACGCCUCACUUUGCAUAAUAGAUGCAUUCCGGAAAAGGUGUUUGUCGAUCAGAUGGUCAUAGAUCUAAGAAUAUUUUGAAAACAAAUCAAGGAAAGUUGACAAUUAAAUGCAUCUAAUAUCAAACUUUUUUUUUUUUUUUUUUUGUGAAGUGAAUAUUUACCCCUAAUUUACAUACUAUAUAAAUAGUGUCAUAGACAAUACAGGGUUUGCUUUUAACAGAGCCCAGCUGCAUUCUAUAUUGUGGCCUGGGUGUCUUGAA
RNAcentral lists this long non-coding RNA (1148 nucleotides) under Sarcophilus harrisii (Tasmanian devil). RNAcentral's name for it is "lncRNA (ENSSHAG00000022666.1)". The record is from RNAcentral. Lineage: Eukaryota; Metazoa; Chordata; Mammalia; Dasyuromorphia; Dasyuridae.